UAGUCAUAUGCUUGUCUCAGAGAUUAAGCCAUGCAUGUCUAAGUAUAAGCAAUCUUAUACAGCGAAACUGCGAAUGGCUCAUUAAAUCAGUUAUAGUCUACUUGAUCGUAUCUUCUUACAUGGAUAACCGUAGUAAAUCUAGAGCUAAUACAUGCUAAAAAUCCUGGACGCGGCAACGCGGAAGGGACGAGUUUAUUAGAUUAAAAACCGACACCUCUCCGCGAGGGGAGGUAGCACAGGUGAUUCACAGUAACCGAUCGGAUCGUCGGCCCCGCCGACGACGAUGCAUACGAGUUUCUGCCCUAUCAACUUUAGAUGGUAGAGUAUCGGUCUACCAUGGUCGUAACGGGUGACGGGGGAUUAGGGUUCGAUUCCGGAGAGGGAGCCUGAGAAACGGCUACCACUUCCAAGGAAGGCAGCAGGCGCGCAAAUUACCCAAUCCCGACACGGGGAGGUAGUGACAAGAAAUACCAUUGUAAUGUCUCCUCGAGAGGCUUACGAUUGGAAUGAGUACAAUUUAAAUCCUUUAACGAGGAUCUAUU
This 542-nucleotide ribosomal RNA is filed under the name uncultured eukaryote. Its description in RNAcentral is "SSU rRNA". It matches the Rfam family "Eukaryotic small subunit ribosomal RNA", at positions 21 to 549 of the family's 1831-position model. The record is from RNAcentral.